Molecule: unclassified non-coding RNA, 360 nt
Filed under: Hevea brasiliensis (rubber tree)
Lineage: Eukaryota; Viridiplantae; Streptophyta; Magnoliopsida; Malpighiales; Euphorbiaceae
Source: RNAcentral
AUAAUAUAUUAAGUAUAAUCUUCCACUGAACAUUAUGCCACAUAUGUUACGCAAAGCAGUGUGGCACCUGAAGCUCUCAAAUUUCAGAUCCGCCACUAACUUUAAGUAUAGAAAUUGGGGAAAAUGGUUGGCUCUGCAAGUCAUGACAGUUCGGUCAAGUUAUGGAAAUAGAGGACAAUUUCAAGAUUUCACAAAAAAGUAUAUAGAUAUCUAUAGCUCUUAUUGUUUUUUAUGAAGAAUAUCCAUGUUUGUGGUUGUUAUAGUUAACAUUAGAGCGUGGUUUGCCGUUGAGAAAGGCGUUGCACAGUAACAGAUUUGCAAAUUUUCAUGGUAAAAUGUACCGUGUUUCUCCUAGUAUUG